AUAAAACACCAGUAAAUAAUAACGCAAGGCACAGAUAGUGAGAAAGAAGCCAACGAUGAGCAUAUCCAGAAGUCUUCAUUUUUCUCAAACUUUUAACUUAUUCGAAUUGCCAAUUCCACUCUCCAAUCCUAAAAGUAGAAGUAGAACCUCGCAGUACCCAGAAAACAAAUCCAGUCUUGAAAACCAAAAUUCCCAUUUCGACAGAAGCUGAAGAACUUGACAAAAAGUCCCAAAUUCAGCCUUUGAUUGACCUCCUACGUGACUCUGCCCAUGAAGGGUCUUUGAAAAAAAGCUUAAAGCUGUUCAUGGGGUUUGCGUUAAAAUCCUGUUUUUCUAACAAAGAACUGUUAAUUUUGUUGAAUCACGUGGCUCAUGCCUACUCAAAAUGCUGACUUAAGUUCUGCUUUUCAGGUAUUUGAUAAAAUGUCUCAAAGAAACAUAUUCUCUUGGACUGUCAUGAUUGUUGGUUCAACAGAGAAUGGAUUUUUCUUGAAUGGAUUUAAGUAUUUUUAUCAAAUGCUUAGUUAUGGAGUCUUGCCUGAUACUUUUGCGUGUUCUGCAAUUAUACAGACAUCUAUUGGUUUAGAAUGUAUUGAAUUGGGUGGAAUGGUGCAUGCCCAGAUUGUUAUAAGAGGCUUUCACUCUCUUACUUUUGUCGCUACAUCUCUUCUUAACAUGUAUGCAAAGUUGAGGAGUAUUGAGGACUCGUAUAAGGUUUUCAACACCAUGAUAUAACAUAAUGAAGUUUCCUGGAAUGCCAUUAUUUAUGGUUUUACAUUAAGUGGAAUGCAUUUGGAAUCAUUUGAUCGUUUCCUAUGAAUGAAGAAUUAAGGAAUCAGGGCGAAUACAUAUACAAUCAUUAGUCUUUCAAAAGGUGUAGGGCAGUUAGGUGAUAUUGACAAGGGCAAACAAGUUCAGUCUGUUGCUGUCGAGUUGGGUAUGGAGUCUGAUGUGCAAGUGGGGACAACUAUCAUUGAUUUGUACUCAAAAUGUGCAUUCCUGCAGGAAGCAAGAGCCUUUUUCAACUCAAAUAUUGUUAAUUUUCAGGUGAACAUGCCAUGGAAUGCGAUGAUUGCCAGUUAUUCACAAAAUGGGUGUAGCCAAGAGGCUUUAGAACUCCAUGUAAGAAUUCAUCAAAAUGAUAUAAAAUCGGAUGUUUAUUCAUAUUGCAGUGUAUUCAAUGCAAUUGCGGAUUAAAAGUAUUUACAGUUUGGAAAGGAAGUUCAUGGGAAGGUUUUGAAGUCUGGAUGUGAUAUGAUGGUUAUUAGUAGUUGUAAUGCAAUUGCUGAUGCAUAUGCCAAAUGUGGACCUCUUGAAGAUUUAAAAAAGAUUUUUAACAGGAUGGAGGAGAGAGAUAUGGUGUCAUGGACCACCCUGGUGACUGCACACUCUCAAUGCUCGGAGUGGGAGGAAGCCCUGGCUAUUUUUUCACAGAUUAGGGAAGAAGGCCUUAGACCUAACCAAUUUACCUUUUCCAGUGUCCUGGUUUCUUAUUCUAGCCUUUGUUUUCUUAAGUACGGUCGGUAAGUUCAUGGUCUUUUGUGCAAGGCUGGGUUGGCCUCGGAUAAAUGCAUAGAGAGUUCUCUAGUGGACAUUUAUGCAAAAUGUGGUAGUGUAAGUGAGGCAGAGAAGGUCUUUGAAAGGAUUUUUAACCCUGACACUGUGUCAGAGUCCACUAGUGGACAUGUUUGCAAAAUGUGGUAGUGUAAGUGAGGCAGAGAAGGUCUUUAAAAGGAUUUUUAACCCCGACACUGUGUCAUGGACAACUAUGAUAUUGGGUGAUGCUGAUAGGAACCUGAAGAGCGAGACGUCCGAACUAUUAGGCUCCCACUGUCCACAGUGCAACAGGAGCCGAAAACCGUAAGUGCGCCGUAAUGCUUGUAUUUGUUUUACGAAUGAAACAGUCAAUUUCGUGUAUGGCAACGAGUUAAUAAUCCCAGUCGUAUUAAUUUACUAUUGGAAUAAAGCCAGAUUGGCAUUACACUUUCAUUAGCACUGCAGAGCACAAAAUAAAGAAAAUCAACACUACACGUUUAACAACGUUAAAUUCCCAGCAAGUUUUCCAUGAUUCCAGAUCACUAACAACUACACAACCACUCAAACAAAAUAAACAAACUCAAUUCUUCGCCAGCUUUUGAGAGGCUGGGUCUCUCCCCUAUUUCUUCCUUCCACCACAAUUUACCUCCUCCCUCCCUCUGCUCUCCAGGUCCCUAUUUCUUAAUUCCUUGCUACAGCUUAUCCAAUCUUGACGUGCCAGCUCAGCAUUCAAUAUUUCCAUAGUUCCUCUUUUUCCUAGCAUGUCCCAAUACUUUUGCUGCAUGUCUGCUGUCCUUGCCAUUUCUGGAGUGUUGCCAUCUGGAGCUUCAAAAAUCUGCUCACCAAUAUUAUUAUCACUGUUGCCGUUUGUCAACUUCUCAGCUUGCUCCUUUGAGGACGCCUUUCUUCUGCCUCUUCUCUUCUUCACGUACACUCGGGCUCUAACAGAUGCGCAACAUUGUCUCUCAGAGAAUGCACUUAAACUCUUCAGAAAGAUGGAGCAACUAGGUAUGAAGGCUAAUUCUGUUACUCUACUCUGUGUUUUGUUUACUUGCAGCCAUGGAGGAUUGGUUGAGCAAGGAUUAAAAUAUUUUCAAGAAAUGGAACAAAAUUAUGGUGUGGUUCCAGAGAUCGAAUAUUAUGCUUGUAUUGUUGAUCUAUGUGGUCGUUUGAAUGAUGCAAUGGAGUUUAUAAGAAAGAUGCCAAUUGAACCCAGCGAAAUGGUUUGGCAGACCUUGCUGGGAACAUGCAGAGUACAUGAGCUGGGUGAAAUUGCCGCAUAGAAGGUUCUUCCUGUUAGACCAGAUUCGACUACCUGUAUUCUAUUAUCUAACACAUGUUGAGAGUGGGAGUUUUGACGAUGGUCUUAACCUACGAAAAGUAAUGAAAGAGAGAGGUGUAAAAAAGGAACCAGGGUAUUGUUGGAUUUCUGUACAAGGUAAAGUUCACAAAUUCCAUUCGGGCGAUCAUCAACACCCGCAGAAGGAUGACAUCUUUGCCAAGUUAGAAGAGUUGAUGAAGAAGGUUAAGUCCAUGGGUGAUAUACCAGACUUGAAUAAUGCUUAGUGACUAAUUUUAAGAUUCAACAAUACAUACUCUUCAAGUGGUCCUUCUGCUGUCUUCGAUCACUGCAUUUUAGCUGUAUGACUUAACCUUCUGCAGGAAGCAACUUGUCCAAGGUAGAAAUAUGCAAGGAAAAUACUAACAUUUUCAUUAACCACUCUGCUAGUGAAAAUUCUGUUAGUAAUUUUAAGCAUUAUUGGAAUUUCUUUUAUAU
Long non-coding RNA from Mangifera indica (mango), 3313 nucleotides. RefSeq lists it as uncharacterized. The transcript is spliced from 2 exons. The record is from RefSeq and is a predicted model, not a curated record. NCBI's taxonomy places the organism in Eukaryota, Viridiplantae, Streptophyta, Magnoliopsida, Sapindales, Anacardiaceae.